This is a long non-coding RNA of Nanorana parkeri, 212 nucleotides long. RefSeq lists it as uncharacterized. Lineage: Eukaryota; Metazoa; Chordata; Amphibia; Anura; Dicroglossidae. The transcript is spliced from 3 exons. The record is from RefSeq and is a predicted model, not a curated record.
CAUGUCAAAAUCGAAGAUUGUGGCAUCCGGUCAACAUUCCGUAGACGUGUCAGCAUCUCGUAAAGGAGAAUUCACCCUGACUUAUGAGACCUCUCCCGAUCAUGUCCCUAUUGUUCAAUAUAUCGUACAGUACUUGCUUAAGGAUGAGGUGGUGGGAGAUGUCAUUAAUCUCGACUUGGAGAAAUGUUUCAAAAACCAGGUUUCUGCUAACU